GCCGGUUUAGCUCAGCUGGUAGAGCACCUGAUUUGUAAUCAGGGGGUCGCGGGUUCGAGCCCUGCAACCGGCACCA
RNAcentral lists this transfer RNA (76 nucleotides) under Solirubrobacterales bacterium. Its description in RNAcentral is "tRNA-Thr". It matches the Rfam family "tRNA". From Rfam's summary of the family: Transfer RNA (tRNA) molecules are approximately 80 nucleotides in length. Their secondary structure includes four short double-helical elements and three loops (D, anti-codon, and T loops). Further hydrogen bonds mediate the characteristic L-shaped molecular structure. tRNAs have two regions of fundamental functional importance: the anti-codon, which is responsible for specific mRNA codon recognition, and the 3' end, to which the tRNAs corresponding amino acid is attached (by aminoacyl-tRNA synthetases). tRNAs cope with the degeneracy of the genetic code in two manners: having more than one tRNA (with a specific anti-codon) for a particular amino acid; and 'wobble' base-pairing, i.e. permitting non-standard base-pairing at the 3rd anti-codon position. RNAcentral also lists the same sequence under 2 other names. Lineage: Bacteria; Bacillati; Actinomycetota; Thermoleophilia; Solirubrobacterales. The record is from RNAcentral.